RNAcentral lists this ribosomal RNA (525 nucleotides) under uncultured bacterium. RNAcentral's name for it is "bacterial SSU rRNA". It matches the Rfam family "Bacterial small subunit ribosomal RNA", at positions 20 to 518 of the family's 1533-position model. The record is from RNAcentral.
UGGCUCAGGACGAACGCUGGCGGCGUGCCUAAUACAUGCAAGUCGAACGGUCUUUCUAUGGAAGCUUGCUUCCACUGAGAAGAUAGUGGCGAACGGGUGAGUAACACGUGGGUAACCUGCCCAUAAGAGGGGGAUAACAUCCGGAAACGGGUGCUAAUACCGCAUAGUUUUCUUGAUCGCAUGAUCGGGAAAGGAAAGACGGCCUUUGUGCUGUCGCUUAUGGAUGGACCCGCGGCGUAUUAGUUAGUUGGUGAGGUAACGGCUCACCAAGACGAUGAUACGUAGCCGACCUGAGAGGGUGAUCGGCCACAUUGGGACUGAGACACGGCCCAAACUCCUACGGGAGGCAGCAGUAGGGAAUCUUCCGCAAUGGACGAAAGUCUGACGGAGCAACGCCGCGUGAGUGAAAGAAGGUUUUCGGAUCGUAAAACUCUGUUGUCAGAGAAGAACAAGUUGGAGAGUAACUGCUCCAGCCUUGACGGUAUCUGACCAGAAAGCCACGGCUAACUACGUGCCAGCCGCGGC